Transfer RNA from Astyanax mexicanus (Mexican tetra), 88 nucleotides. It matches the Rfam family "tRNA". Rfam says of the family: Transfer RNA (tRNA) molecules are approximately 80 nucleotides in length. Lineage: Eukaryota; Metazoa; Chordata; Actinopteri; Characiformes; Acestrorhamphidae. The record is from Rfam.
CCUUAGAUAGCUCAGUUGGUAGAGCGGAGGACUGUAGAGGUUGUAUACGGCUAUCCUUAGGUCGCUGGUUCAAAUCCGGCUUGAAGGA